AUCACCUGAUAGCAGACUGGCCUAUCGCAGUUUCAGACGAAGAUCUAUGAAUUGUGAGAAUAAAUGAUUAGCAGAGCAUAGCAGAGUUUAAACCGUGAUGAGCAAUAACGAUCUUGAUGAUUAAUUACUGAUUUUGAUGAACCAGACUGAUAGACUCUGGGAAAGUCGGAGGGAGUUAAGAGGGAGAGAGAUCGGAGAUCGGAUGUCUUUCUCGGGUCAGUGCAGUCUUAUAAGUUUGUUUCAGAGCAGUGCUUAUAACAGAGUCCAGUAUGCCGGUUCCGCCCGGAUACGUUAACCUUGCCAGUUAUAAGUAUUUCAGUAAGUUCCUUGCCUUAAUUUAAUGUGAGCCUUUCACAUUAGUAUUUUGUUUCUUAUAAAGAGUCUGACGUGAAAUAUAUAUUUACAAUGUUUCUAGUGUUUAUUCACGUACCCUCUAGGCAUAUAAAUUCUAUGCAGUACACUGAAAAGUACAUUCUUACCAGGUUGCAGUGGAUCCGAUCCGUCACAUCGAAUAGAUUCCCCCGUACAUUAAAGAACAGUGACUAUUAAGUUUCCGGGUAGAAGUAAGCUCACGACGAUAAGAUUCCCGAUCUCCCUCUCACUUGAAGGACCAUUAUACGGAUUGAAGUUGUUCUUGAGGUCAAUAGACCCGAAUCUUCCUACUCAGAACGUGCUGCCUUUGCCGAUACCUGCUAGAUUAAUUGAUUCUCCGUCGUCAACCGAGACCAUUCGUGACAGUCAAACUGUUGACGGUGAGACUCAGUCAAAGACGCGUGAUAUUCCAGCCCUCCUACACUAUUUCUUAGAGAGAGACAUAUCAAAAGGUGAUUGCACCAACAUAGACUUAGAGUUCCUUUAAAUAGGUUAUGAGAAGAAUUUCUACCGUUUCAAUUAAUUAGUAUAGUAUCAAAAGGUUACUUCCAUUGUUAUAUAACCAUUUUUCAAUUUAAGAAGGUUUUCUCUCAUUAAUUAUACUACCAUUAGUCGUUCUAUAUUUUGUUCUAUAUUGUCGUUUCAAUUUGUGUUAACCCACCAAAAUUGAAAGUCUGAAUUAUAAUCACUAACCGCACUAAAUUAAAUAAGAAGUAACAUGAAACUCUGAAUUCUAGCAAAACUAUAAUUUCCCUAAAACAAAAGUUUUAAGACGCUCAAUCGUGGGUUCAGAACCUUCCGAGACGGACUCUCUUGAUAUAACCGGGGCCUCCCAUGUAUAGUUCUAGCCAAGUCAAAAGGAGCUCUAAAUAAAUAAUUUCUUGGAGGAAAUAAAGUACUACAUAUCAUGGACAUGGGAGAGGUGAUUAUUACCCGGUGCUAGCAACUAAU
Bolinopsis microptera is the source of this 1323-nucleotide long non-coding RNA. RefSeq lists it as uncharacterized. NCBI's taxonomy places the organism in Eukaryota, Metazoa, Ctenophora, Tentaculata, Lobata, Bolinopsidae. The transcript has 4 exons. The record is from RefSeq and is a predicted model, not a curated record.